UACGGAGGGGGCUAGCGUUGUUCGGAAUUACUGGGCGUAAAGCGCACGUAGGCGGCUUUGUAAGUUAGAGGUGAAAGCCCGGGGCUCAACUCCGGAAUUGCCUUUAAGACUGCAUCGCUAGAAUUGUGGAGAGGUAAGUGGAAUUCCGAGUGUAGAGGUGAAAUUCGUAGAUAUUCGGAAGAACACCAGUGGCGAAGGCGACUCACUGGUCCGGUACUGACGCUGAGGUGCGAAAGCGUGGGGAGCAAACAGG
RNAcentral lists this ribosomal RNA (253 nucleotides) under uncultured bacterium. RNAcentral describes it as "partial 16S ribosomal RNA". It matches the Rfam family "Bacterial small subunit ribosomal RNA", at positions 524 to 776 of the family's 1533-position model. The record is from RNAcentral.